AAAUCGGUCCUUUUCAGGACCACAAUAUUUCUAACAAGGAGAUUUCU
This is a non-coding RNA of Drosophila mojavensis, 47 nucleotides long. NCBI's taxonomy places the organism in Eukaryota, Metazoa, Arthropoda, Insecta, Diptera, Drosophilidae. The record is from Rfam.